GCCGGGCGUGGUGGCGCGUGCCUGUAAUCCCAGCUACUGGGAGAGCUGAGGCAGGAGAAUUGCUUGAACCCAGGAGGCAGAGGUUGCAGUGAGCUGAGAUCACGCCACUGCACUCCAGCCUGAGUGACAGAGCCAGAUUCUGUCUCAA
Unclassified non-coding RNA from Callithrix jacchus (white-tufted-ear marmoset), 148 nucleotides. It matches the Rfam family "Metazoan signal recognition particle RNA". From Rfam's summary of the family: The signal recognition particle (SRP) is a universally conserved ribonucleoprotein. It is involved in the co-translational targeting of proteins to membranes. The eukaryotic SRP consists of a 300-nucleotide 7S RNA and six proteins: SRPs 72, 68, 54, 19, 14, and 9. Lineage: Eukaryota; Metazoa; Chordata; Mammalia; Primates; Cebidae. The record is from Ensembl.